CCCUAGCUGGUGCAAUUGGUUAGCACGUCGCCUUAUUUACCACUGUUGCACUUAUGAUCACCUUUCUGCUGUCAUACACGAAUUGGCCGGCGAAUGUUGCUGGCUCAAAUCCAGCACUGGGGG
Molecule: non-coding RNA, 123 nt
Organism: Fusarium verticillioides 7600
Lineage: Eukaryota; Fungi; Ascomycota; Sordariomycetes; Hypocreales; Nectriaceae
Source: the annotation of a RefSeq genome assembly